CCCUAGGGGCCUAUGUUUCUUUGCCGUCCACUCCCAAAUUGCUUGGAAACUGGAUUAAGGUAGUAAUCACUUAGACCAACAUACAAAGAUCUCCCACAACUAUGUAUAUUGAAGGUUUUGUUUGUUAGCACCAAAAAUACUAAACCACGGACGCGAAAGAAAAAAAAAGAGAGGGAAAAAUUGGAAUUUAGAUAAUUAAUGACAGUUUUGCAAUUUAUAAUUUGAUUAAUUUUAUUUUACAAUUAUGGAAAUUUACUAAUCAGAAUAUAAAUCCUUUUAAAAAUAGCUAACAAAUAUUACUAAUUAAUUAUAAGGUGGAGCAAAAUGGAGAAGGCCCAGGGCUAAGAUGCUCACAUGGCAUAGCUCAAGUAGGCAACAAGAUUUACUCUUUUGGUGGUGAGCUCAUACCAAAUCAGCCCAUCGAUAAACACCUUUACGUCUUUGACCUCGAGACCCGGACUUGGUCCAUUGCUCCAGCCACCGGAGACGUUCCACACCUCUCUUGCUUAGGUGUCCGUAUGGUGUCAGUAGGAUCGACCCUCUAUACCUUUGGAGGCCGAGACUUUUCACGCCAAUACAACGGUUUCUACUCGUUUGACACGACAACAAACGAGUGGAAACUGCUAACUCCGGUGGAAGAAGGACCCACUCCUCGUAGUUUCCAUUCGAUGGCAGCGGAUGAGGAAAACGUUUACGUUUUCGGUGGAGUGGGUGCUAUGGAUCGAAUCAAGACACUAGACUCUUACAAUAUCGUUGACAAGACGUGGUUUCAUUGUUCGAAUCCAGGAGAUUCCUUUAGCAUAAGAGGAGGAGCAGGGCUCGAAGUGGUGCAAGGGAAAGUAUGGAUUGUGUAUGGAUUUAACGGAUGUGAAGUAGAUGAUGUUCAUUUCUACGAUCCUGCUGAAGACAAAUGGACACAAGUGGAAACAUUCGGUGUGAAGCCUAACGAAAGGAGUGUUUUCGCUAGUGCGGCUAUUGGGAAACACAUUGUGAUAUUUGGAGGUGAGAUUGCGAUGGAUCCACGAGCUCACGUAGGUCCGGGUCAAUUAAUCGAUGGGACUUUCGCGUUGGAUACAGAGACGUUGCAAUGGGAGAGGUUAGAUAAGUUUGAGGGGACUCCGAGUAGCAGAGGAUGGACCGCGUCCACGACUGGAACCAUUGAUGGUAAGAAAGGACUUGUGAUGCAUGGUGGUAAAGCUCCAACCAAUGACCGGUUUGAUGACCUCUUCUUUUACGGAAUUGACUCUGUCUGAUUAAGCGCGAUUUGAUCAUGACCGUUUGUGUUUUAUUUGUUUGUGUGUCUGUGUGUCUGUGUGAUGCAAUAAGGGAGGGAUCGUGAUACCUCUAUAUGAUCCUUCGUCAGCUUAUCCAUUUUAUUUUUUAUUUUCUAAAUGUAUCUUUUUGUUUUUUGUUUUCUGUUUUGUAUGUUUAAUGUUUCGUGGCUUGUUCAAUAAGAUGUUUAUUUUCCGAAUUUUUUUUGGGUAUGUUACGUUAUACUACAAACAAAAAUAUUAUGAUUUUGAUUUUCUCUAAAGAUGAAAUGAAUAGAACAAGAAGUCAGCAGAUAGGGUGGUUUCAUCUACUUUUGUGGUUGGUAAAUGUGGUUAGAAAAAUUUGCAUUGAAUUGUAAGUUUCUAUCCAUAAAAGAAACAAAAAAUUAAUGUAAUCAAGAGUGGAAAGUUACCAAUGGAUUAUAAAAAUCUUGCAAUUCUAAUAAAUCCUCAUGUCAACGGUACAGAUAAGAUAAGGGUAAGGGGCAAACAAUCUUGUUGGUUCAAAUGGCAAGUAAACAAGGGCAAUUAUAUCCACCUAAUCCAUUGCGUUUUCUUUCUCUAAUCUUAGAAUCUACUUUAAUUGUAUGUUUUUCUCUUUCAUCUACUUUCCAAAACUAUAUAACCUCAUUUCUAUACUUUUUAUGCAUUUAUUUUGAAACCCCUUUAUCAAAAAAAAAAAAGGGGCCAAUUUUUCUUCAAAAAUGGUUACUUUAAGAUUCUCAUAUACAGUGUGCCAAAAAAAAAAAAGGUACCUAAAAUAUUUAUUAUUUCAGAUAUUGGUCAACAUAUUAUCUGUAACAGAAAAAUGUUCACGUGAUAUUUGCGAAUCACAUUUUUCUAGGGGCAAAAGUGAUAUAUGAGAAUCUUAAAGUAACCUUUUCUAGAAUAAUUGCCCUUGUUUACUUGCCACUGUAGUCAUUUAUUUAAUUUAUGUUCAAAAACAGAUUACCUACCUAAUUCACCGAAACGAAAAAUUUUGUUGCCAGUUUUUGUUUUUUUUAAUUUUUUUUUUCCUCUUUUUAGUUUACCUUCUCUUUUUUCUGUUCAACAUUAAACUAGAAGGUAGAGUAAUAAAUAACGAUGGAUGGAUGUGUUGAAAACGCGCUUUAUGCAUGAUUCAUACGAGAGCAGCUGAGGAGGAGACAAAAAACGGGUCUACACUAUAUCAGACUUUUUUUUGUUUUUUUGGUGUAAAACUAUAUCAGAUGGAAAAAUAUCAACCAAAUAAUGUAGAAACUAUAUCAAACUUUUAACAAAACUAUCAACCCAAUAUUUUAUAUUUUAUUAAAAAACAAUACUAAUAAUUUUUCCUUUUCCUCGUUUUUUUUUUUCUGAUCAACCAUUCACACGUUGUUUUUCGUAAUUAUGAUUCUGCAUAAUGCUUUCUCUAAAUCAAAAACUCCACGCCACGGUUCAACUGAUGUAGUGCCUCCACCGUUGUCGUUUGACUCGUUGCAGAGGACACCAUUAUGCACUUCGAUUCAUUUUCAAAAUCGUCUUUCUCUACUGAAUUGUUACUCCAUUUAAUUUUUUGGUCCAUAGAUAACAUAGACCAUUAUACUAGUAUGUUAAAUGUAUACUUAUCAGUUACCGCACAACAUUAAUUCUUAAAGAGGGUUCAUUUUCGAGAAUUGAGUACAACACUACCAUUAGGCCAAAAUGCGAGAGGCAAAAAAAGAUAUAGCAUAUACUUAUCAUGAAUAAUGAAAAUCUUUUCCAUCCAAAUAAAAAUCUUUCUUCUCAUAAAAGAAAGAAGAGAAAAAACAAUGAGUUUGCAUAUCUUUAUCCUGUAGAAUGAUAAUCUUCCCCAUCAACUACUGUAGAUCGUCAACGUGUACUCACUUCCAUUAUCGAUCGAAUCAUCAAUUUAAUGCCUCGUGAAUCACGAGAUCAUAUAAUAUGACAAGAAAUUCGUCCCGUUUAUCUACUGCUGGUCAAUAAAUACUCAUGCAAUUCCCACCAAUAGAUCACUCAACCAAUUUCUUCUCAGGUUCUCUCUUCACACCUCUCCCCUUCUCUAUGAUUAUAGAUAGUAUAUGAUUUGGUUAAAUUAUCUAUAUUUCUUUUUUGAUAAAGGAUUUGGUUAAAUUUUUAAUUGCAGGUAAUACUCGUAAGAUUUAUCAACACAAGCAAAAAAGAUGGCCCAAAAGCUAGAAGCAAAGGGUGGUGAGAUGGGAGAUGUAUGGGAUGAUGGUGUUUACGAAAAUGUUAGAAAGGUAUAUGUAGGGCAAGCACAAUACGGUAUAGCCUUCGUCAAGUUUGAGUAUGUCAAUGGUUCUCAAGUGGUUGUUGGAGAUGAACAUGGAAAGAAGACAGAGCUAGGAGUUGAAGAGGUACUAAAAUAGAUUUUUUUUUUUUUUUUUUUUUUUUUUUUUUUUUAGUCAAAAGGUACUAAAAUAGAUUUAUAUGUUGUGAUUGAUCAAGAGGUAGGGUCUUUUUUUUUUUUGUUGCUUUCCGCAUUGAAAAUUGCUUGGUUUCUUUGCAGUUUGAGAUUGAUGCGGAUGACUACAUCGUAUACGUGGAAGGUUACCGUGAGAAAGUUAACGAUAUGACGUCAGAAAUGAUCACGUUUCUUUCUAUUAAGACUUUUAAAGGCAAAACCUCUCAUCCUAUCGAAAAAAGACCUGGGGUUAAGUUUGUGCUACAUGGUGGAAAAAUCGUUGGGUUUCACGGACGUUCAACAGAUGUUUUACACUCCCUUGGGGCCUAUGUUUCUUUGUCAUCCACUAUCAAAUUGCUUGGGAAGUGGAUUAAGGUAAUAAUCUCUUAGACCAAUCCAAAAACAAAAAUAAAAAAUUAUCUCACAUAAAUAUGUUGUUAUUGUUACCACCGCAAAAUCACUAAAUCACUUACGAGAAAGAAAAAAUGAAGAAGAAAAGAGGGUUGAAUUUGGAAUUCAGAUAAUGACACUUUUAAAAUUUAUAAUUUUAUUAAAUUUAUCUUAUGGGAGUUCAUUAAUCAGAUAAAUAAUUUCUUUAAAAAUAACUAAAAAAUAUUACUCAUAGGUGGAGCAAAAAGGAGAAGGUCCAGGGCUAAGAUGCUCACAUGGCAUAGCACAAGUAGGCAACAAGAUUUACUCCUUUGGUGGCGAGUUCACACCAAAUCAGCCCAUCGACAAACACCUUUACGUCUUUGACCUCGAGACCCGGACUUGGUCCAUUUCUCCAGCCACCGGAGACGUUCCACACCUCUCUUGUUUAGGUGUCCGGAUGGUGUCAGUAGGAUCGACCCUCUAUGUCUUUGGAGGCCGAGACGCUUCACGCCAAUACAACGGUUUCUACUCGUUUGACACGACCACUAACGAGUGGAAACUGCUAACUCCGGUCGAAGAAGGACCCACUCCUCGUAGUUUCCACUCAAUGGCAGCCGAUGAGGAAAACGUUUACGUUUUCGGUGGAGUGAGUGCUACGGCACGACUCAAUACACUAGACUCUUACAACAUCGUUGAUAAGAAGUGGUUUCAUUGUUCGACUCCAGGAGAUUCCCUUACCGCAAGAGGAGGAGCAGGGCUCGAAGUGGUGCAAGGGAAGGUAUGGGUUGUGUAUGGGUUUAACGGAUGUGAAGUAGAUGAUGUUCAUUACUACGAUCCUGUUCAAGACAAGUGGACACAAGUGGAAACAUUCGGUGUGAGGCCUUCCGAAAGAAGUGUAUUCGCUAGUGCGGCUAUUGGGAAACACAUUGUGAUUUUUGGAGGUGAAAUUGCGAUGGACCCGCUAGCUCACGUGGGUCCAGGUCAAUUGACCGAUGGAACUUUUGCAUUGGACACAGAGACGUUGCAAUGGGAGAGGCUGGAUAAGUUUGGUGGAGAGGAAGAGACUCCGAGUAGCAGAGGAUGGACCGCGUCCACGACUGCUACCAUUGAUGGUAAGAAAGGACUUGUGAUGCAUGGUGGUAAAGCUCCAACCAAUGACCGGUUUGAUGAUCUCUUCUUUUACGGGAUUGACUCUGCCUAAUUAAGGCAGAUUUGGUGAUCAUGAACGUUUGUGAAUGUGUGUGUGUGUGUGUGGGUCUGUGUUUGUGUGUGUAAUAAGGGAGGGGUAUACCACCAUAUGAUCCUUCCCCAGCUUGACCAUUGUUUUUUUUUUAAUAUGUUUUUCUUUCUACAUGUUUGUUUCACGUUUCAUGUUGUAUCCAAUAAAUUGUGUACUUUCCUAGUAGUAAUCGCCAGAAAAAAAAAAAAAAAAAAAAAACCUAGUAGGUAGAGUCAUAGCUUACAAUUAAAUAAAUAACGAUGGAUGUGUUGAAAACGCGUUUAUGCAUGAUUCAUGAAUUGUAUAUACGAGAGCAGCCGAGGAGGAGAUAAAGAGAGGGGUCUACAAUGAUCAAUACUAACUUAAUUUUGUAGUGUUGUCAGUCAAUAAUGUAUACCUAUCAAAAUGGGGCCUAUAUUCCAUCACUAGUGAGUUCGUCAGUCAAUAAUGUAUUUUCCGACACUUAAAAAACGUUCCAAAUCAUAAUACUUAUAAUUAUAACCAGAUAAGUUUUACUGAAUCCCAGACUAAUUCUCAAACUUUGCUAUCAUGUUAUUAACAAACAUUACAAUGUAGAGAAAUAUGGAUGCCCUAGUUUCAACUAACACGAUGAAUCAUGUCAAUCACUGUAUAAAUAGUUAAUAAGUUGUGACUUUUUUUUUUGUCGGCUAAUAAGUUGUGACUUUAGGCACCGUCAAUAUUCAACUGUAAUUAUAAUCGUAUAUAAUAAGUGAUUAUAUCUGUCAAAUAUCAUAUAUAACAAAUAAUAUAAUUGUAUGUAUAUAUAUUAUCUCUAUCAACUAUAAUCAUAUACAGAAAGAAAAAAAACAAGUGUUACAUCACGCUUAGCUUAAAAGUUUCGACUUUUUGCACCGUCAUAUUUCACGUGUAAGCAAGAAAUACAAAUGUAAAUAGAUUAUAAUUAAUGAAUUCUCUCGACUCUCUCAACAUAGUAUAUAAAAGGAAAUCUACACAUGAACCGUAUCUUUCUCACUUUUGAAAUAUUUUGAUGUUUUAAAGAAAUUUUUUCAAAAUUUUAUAUAAAUUAUAAAUUAAUUUAAUAUUUUUUGAUUAUUUAUAUUUUUCAUCAGUCUUGUUCAUAAUUGGUUGAAUUGUUUUAAAGUAAAUAUUUCUUUAGCUAAAACAUCUUAUACAAUUAAAAGAAAAAAGUGUAAUCAAAUAACCAAAUAUAAAUUAGUAUUUCAAAUUAUACUUAUUGCAGGGUGAUAAACCUUUUGUCCCAAGUGAAGUUAAACCUAUAAAUAUAUACCCCAUUUAGAGGGUCCUAUAUAACUAAAGUACCACAUAUUUGGUGGUUUAUAUCAUUCAAUUUUUUUGUAACUAACUUAAUAUUUGAUAUGUAAAAUCAUGUUAAAAUAGGAUCAGCAGAUAGAAUAUAUAAAAAAUAAGUCAUGUACAAACGUAACGUUCUUCAUAUCUUAGGUAACGUAUCUAACAAUUUUGUUAAAUAUUAUUAUUUUAAAAAAUUGAACAUAUUAUUUGGAAACUUUUCUUUUGAUAAUUUUGAAAUGGCACUUUGUAAUUAAGAGUUUAAUAAAGAACACGUCACACACAAAAACGAAGAAAGAGAUUAUAGAAAUUAAGUUGUGUUUUCAAUCUUCGUGUAUACAAAACAAAAAUAAAAAUUAGAAAUGAUAUUUCAUACGAUGUUGUUAAAUAAUAUAAUUAUGAAAAUUAGUUGUGCUUUAUAUUAUUAUUUUUGUUGGAAGCUCUAGAAACGAUCGACCUAAUAGUAUAUUUUUGUCACUAAAAAGUGUGAUUAAAAUAUAUAUAUAUAUAUAUAUAUAUAUAUAUAUAUAUAUAAUAUUGUAAUUUUCAACCAAUUCUCGGUUUAGGUGGUUUAUUAUUAUAUUGUUUUUUGAAAAAAUUAAAAAAUAUAUCCUUAUUAGUUCAUUCUUUUCUGGUCAUUCGUUCACACUUUACAACUUGGUUAAUGGCCACUUCUCAAGUUAUCGUUCUUUCAUUUGUUCUACAGUCGCAAGAAAUUAUCGUUCUUUCAUUUGUCAUUAUGCAUAAUGAUUUCUCUUUUCUUUUUAGUGCAUAAUGAUCUCACUACAUAAAAAAAUCUAUCUUACGAUUCAACUAUAUUUAGUCCCAUGCACUCGCUGCAUAACACAUUACUUUCUUCGAUUUAGAGUGAUUUUCACAACCUUGUUUCUGUAUUGUAUAUUUAGUUAGUGUUUGUGAUUACCAAAAAAAAAAAUUGUUUCUUCUUGGCUUAGUCUUUUUAUCUUUUUUUUUUUUUUUGCUUCAUCUAUUUUUCCUCCCAUGACAGAUGAAGACGGCAAGAGAUGCAGCAAAUCUCAUUUAUGAUCUAUCUGAAGAAUCAGCGUCAUCGAUUUGGAGACUCGAACCAUAACAAAAAGAGCAUCACAGUUUCAAUUUAAUUGCUCCUGGCGCUUCCUAUUUCAGCAACAAACAUUAAAUAAUUAAUCCAAUAGAGAUGAUAUAUAUGGAAAUUUCAAAACCAAAAAAAGAAACUUUCAAAACCAAAAUUGCGAAGCCAUAGAAAUCGUGGAUCAUGGAAUUGCGAAGACCAAUGUUGACAUAUGGGAAUUUGGUGUCCCAAUGAGCAGAGAUCACUAAGAUUGGUUUUCGGGAGGAACUUUUUGAGUUCAUGAUUUGAAGAAUUGUCUCGCCUAUAAGCUAUCGUCCAUAGUUUGAGAUUCAUGCGACAAGAAGAAGGUUUGAUUCACUUUCUCCAUUUAAUUGAAUCAUCUUCAUAGAUAUAUUUUCAUACUUAAUCAAUGUUUUUACCAAAAAAAUAAUGUUAUUUUAUUAUUUUGGUUUUAUGUGGUUUGGGAUUGGUGUAGAUUAUAAACCGAUUAAACCAAUGUUUUUGUGUUCUGAGAUUUCAAACUUUUGAACUAAAUAAAUAUACGUUUUGGGGAAUAUCCAAUAUCAAUAUGUAUCAUAGUUUGGACUCUAUCUAUUCCAGUAUGAUAAUUCCCGUGGAAAAAUAUAUCAUCGUCUCUAUUUUAUACAUGCACUUGCAACACAAACCAGCCAUAAAGUGGGUCUAUUCUUAUAAUUUAUGACAACAUGGAACACUAUCAUUGGGCCACGAUGCAAGGAGCGAAGGACGAUGCGAGAAGGUGCUUUACUGAUUUGAUGAACGUGGAGGUGAUUCUGAAUGAUACGAGAUCUCUAAGCUGAAUAUAUAAUAGUAUAGUUUUUCGUAAUUUUUUUUUGUUAAAUUUUUUAUCGCUGCUAAAGAUUAAAUGGCGAGUAAAACUAUACUAUUAUACUUUCAAAGAUCACCCGAGAAAAUGAUGACUGCACAUACUUUCAAUAUCCCAUAGAUGACAUAUCUGUUUUAUUUCCAUCAAGCUAUUCAUCGAAACAAAAGCACAUGACGAUUAUGGGAGAGAAACACUACUCUAAAAUCCCGUAAUAAGCUGCACCACCUAAUUUUUUGUGCCUUGACCAAAAAAAAUUCAAUGUUGCAGUUCAACGAACCUUCUUACGGAGGAUCUUUAAACAAAAUUUAUUUGGUACAUAGAGAAAAAUAUUUUAAUAUAUACUAAUUUAAUGCCUCGCGAUCAACGAGUAGAGAAAAAAUAUGUCGCGUGUAUCUUCUUCCAUUGGUCAAUAAAUACCAAUGCAAUGUUUACUACACAAAUCAUUACUUCAGUCUCACUCUCAGGUCAGCUCUCUCCACAUCUCUCUCAUAUGAUUGUACUAUGUAUAAGAUUUGGUAAUAUUUGUAAUUACAAGUAAAAUUCGUAAAUACAGAUAAUAUUCGUAAGAGGUUGAUCAAACGAAAGCAAAAGAGAUGGCCCAAAAGGUUGAAGCACAAGGAGGAAAUGGCGGUAACCAAUGGGAUGAUGGAUCCGAAUACGACGCUGUGACCAAGAUUCAAGUCGCAGCAGGCGGGAACGGAAUUGAAUAUGUUAAGUUCACAUACGUCAAGAACGGACAAACCGAAGAAGCCCCUCUACGCGGUGUCAAGGGCCGUAGUUUCGAAGCAGAUCCGGUUCCUAUACACUAUCCUUGCCUAUCUCUUCAUUUUUAUCUAUAAGGACAUUGACGUGAAUUAAUAUAUAUAUAUAUAUAGGUUAUAUAUUGUCAAGGGUUUGUUUUGAUAAUGUUCUUUUUAAGAAAUUGACAUUUUGAUCUUGAUCUCUACAGUUUGUGAUAAACCAUCCGGAGGAGCACUUAGUUUCUGUAGAAGGUCGGUAUAACCCUGAAGGACUUAUUCUAGGGCUAACGUUCAAAUCCAACAAGAAGACUUCUGAUCUCAUUGGAUAUGAAGAUGGUACACCGUUCACUCUCCAAGUUCAAGACAAGAAGAUCGUUGGAUUUUAUGGCUUCGCUGGAAACAAUCUCCAUUCUCUUGGAGCGUACUUUGCUCCGUUGACUAAUGUAACCCCCUUGAAUGCCAAAAAGCUAGAAGCAAAGGGUGGUGACACGGGAGAUAUAUGGGAUGAUGGUGUUUACGAUAAUGUUAGAAAGGUAUAUGUAGGGCAAGCCCAAUAUGGUAUAGCCUUCGUCAAGUUUGAGUAUGUCAAUGGUUCUCAAGUGGUUGUUGGAGAUGAACAUGGAAAGAAGACAGAGCUAGGAGUUGAAGAGGUACAAAAAUAGAUAAUUCUAUGUUGUGAUUCGUCAAAAGGAUAUAUAUAUAUAUAUAUUUAUAUGGGUAACCUCACUCAAAAUUAUUUGGUUUCUUUGCAGUUUGAGAUUGAUGCGGAUGACUACAUCGUAUACGUGGAAGGAUACCGUGAGAAAGUUAAUGGUAUGACCUCAGAGAUGAUCACUUUUCUUUCAUUCAAGACUUAUAAAGGCAAAACCUCUCAGCCUAUCGAACAAAGACCUGGUAUUAAGUUUGUGCUACAAGGUGGAAAAAUUGUUGGGUUUCACGGACGUUCGACCGACGUUCUAGACUCCCUCGGGGCUUAUAUUUCAUUGUCGCCCACUCCAAACUUGCAUGGAAAGUGGACAAAGGUAGUAAUCUUUUAUAUAUCACCAUGGGAGCUAGUUCACUAAGCAGACUCUAUAUUAUAAAAAAUCCUAACUAACAAGUAUUAUUAAUUAAUUAUAAGGUGGAUGAAAAUGGAGAUGGUCCAGGGCUAAGAUGCUCGCAUGACAUAGCACAGGUAGGAAACAAGAUUUACUCUUUUGGUGGUGAGUUCACACCAAAUCAGCCCAUCGACAAACACCUUUACGUCUUUGACAUCGAGAGCCGGACUUGGUCCAUUUCUCCAGCCACGGGAGACAUUCCAACCCUCUCUUGCCUAGGUGUCUGUAUGGUGUCAAUAGGAUCGACCCUCUAUGUCUUUGGAGGCCGAGACGCUUCACGUCAAUACAACGGUUUCUACUCGUUUGACACGACCACAAACGAGUGGAAACUGCUAACUCCGGUCGAAGAAGGACCCACUCCUCGUAGUUUCCACUCAAUGGCAG
RNAcentral lists this long non-coding RNA (10669 nucleotides) under Arabidopsis thaliana (thale cress). RNAcentral describes it as "long non-coding RNA (ATHA_LNC000098)". The record is from RNAcentral. Lineage: Eukaryota; Viridiplantae; Streptophyta; Magnoliopsida; Brassicales; Brassicaceae.